This 73-nucleotide transfer RNA is filed under the name Hofstenia miamia. RNAcentral's name for it is "tRNA-Cys for anticodon GCA". It matches the Rfam family "tRNA". From Rfam's summary of the family: Transfer RNA (tRNA) molecules are approximately 80 nucleotides in length. Their secondary structure includes four short double-helical elements and three loops (D, anti-codon, and T loops). Lineage: Eukaryota; Metazoa; Xenacoelomorpha; Acoela; Hofsteniidae. The record is from RNAcentral.
GGGUCCAUAGCUGAAUGGUAGAGCAUUUGACUGCAGAUCAAAAGGAUGCUGGUGCGAAACCGGCUUUGACCUA